This 332-nucleotide ribosomal RNA is filed under the name uncultured bacterium. Its description in RNAcentral is "bacterial SSU rRNA". It matches the Rfam family "Bacterial small subunit ribosomal RNA", at positions 568 to 898 of the family's 1533-position model. The record is from RNAcentral.
CGCGUAGGCGGGUCGUUAAGUUGGGGGUGAAAGCCCAGGGCUCAACCCCUGGAAUUGCCUUCAAUACUGGCGACCUUGAGUAUGGCAGAGGUGUGUGGAACUCCGAGUGUAGAGGUGAAAUUCGUAGAUAUUCGGAAGAACACCAGUGGCGAAGGCGACACACUGGGCCAUUACUGACGCUGAGGCGCGAAAGCGUGGGGAGCAAACAGGAUUAGAUACCCUGGUAGUCCACGCUGUAAACGAUGAGUGCUAGUUGUCGGUAUGCAUGCAUAUCGGUGACGCAGUUAACGCAUUAAGCACUCCGCCUGGGGAGUACGGUCGACAAGAUUAAA